UACGGGAGGCAGCAGUGGGGAAUAUUGCACAAUGGGCGAAAGCCUGAUGCAGCUAUGCCGCGUGUAUGAAGAAGGCCUUAGGGUUGUAAAGUACUUUCAUCGGGGAGGAAAAACAAAACUAAUAAUUUUAUUUCUUGACGUUACCCGAAAAAGAAGCACCGGCUAACUCCGUGCCAGCAGCCGCGGUAAUACGGAGGGUGCUAGCGUUAAUCAGAAUUACUGGGCGUAAAGAGCACGUAGGUGGUUUUUUUAAGUCAGAUGUGAAAUCCCUGGGCUUAACCUAGGAACUGCAUUUUGAAACUGAAAUACUAGAGUAUCGUAGAGGGAGGUAGAAUUCUAGGUGUAGCGGUGAAAUGCGUAGAUAUCUGGAGGAAUACCUGUGGCGAAAGCGGCCUCCUAAACGAAUACUGACACUGAGGUGCGAAAAGCGUGGGGAGCAAACAGGGAUUAGAUACC
This 456-nucleotide ribosomal RNA is filed under the name uncultured bacterium. RNAcentral describes it as "bacterial SSU rRNA". It matches the Rfam family "Bacterial small subunit ribosomal RNA", at positions 340 to 786 of the family's 1533-position model. The record is from RNAcentral.